GCAAGUCGAGGGGCAUCAGUUUGGUUUGCUUGCAAACCAAAGCUGGCGACCGGCGCACGGGUGAGUAACACGUAUCCAACCUGCCUCAUACUCGGGGAUAGCCUUUCGAAAGAAAGAUUAAUAUCCGAUAGCAUAUAUUUCCCGCAUGGGUUUUAUAUUAAAGAAAUUCGGUAUGAGAUGGGGAUGCGUUCCAUUAGUUUGUUGGCGGGGUAACGGCCCACCAAGACUACGAUGGAUAGGGGUUCUGAGAGGAAGGUCCCCCACAUUGGAACUGAGACACGGUCCAAACUCCUACGGGAGGCAGCAGUGAGGAAUAUUGGUCAAUGGACGCGAGUCUGAACCAGCCAAGUAGCGUGAAGGAUGACUGCCCUAUGGGUUGUAAACUUCUUUUAUAUGGGAAUAAAGUGGUCCACGUGUGGAUUUUUGUAUGUACCAUAUGAAUAAGGAUCGGCUAACUCCGUGCCAGCAGCCGCGGUAAUACGGAGGAUCCGAGCGUUAUCCGGAUUUAUUGGGUUUAAAGGGAGCGUAGGCGGAUUGUUAAGUCAGUUGUGAAAGUUUGCGGCUCAACCGUAAAAUUGCAGUUGAUACUGGCAGUCUUGAGUGCAGUAGAGGUGGGCGGAAUUCGUGGUGUAGCGGUGAAAUGCUUAGAUAUCACGAAGACUCCGAUUGCGAAGGCGGCUCACUGGAGU
RNAcentral lists this ribosomal RNA (689 nucleotides) under uncultured Bacteroidales bacterium. Its description in RNAcentral is "bacterial SSU rRNA". It matches the Rfam family "Bacterial small subunit ribosomal RNA", at positions 57 to 735 of the family's 1533-position model. The record is from RNAcentral. Lineage: Bacteria; Pseudomonadati; Bacteroidota; Bacteroidia; Bacteroidales.